This 116-nucleotide transfer RNA is filed under the name Caudoviricetes sp. RNAcentral describes it as "tRNA-Leu". It matches the Rfam family "tRNA". Rfam says of the family: Transfer RNA (tRNA) molecules are approximately 80 nucleotides in length. Lineage: Duplodnaviria; Heunggongvirae; Uroviricota; Caudoviricetes. The record is from RNAcentral.
ACCCAAGUAGCUCAGUUGGGAGAGCGAGACCAAAUAGUCCGUCGCAUGCAAAAAAAAAUCCAGGGUCUUCAAAAGCUGGUUGAAAGACGCAGGUUCGAGUCCUGCCUUGGGUGCCA